Molecule: ribosomal RNA, 492 nt
Filed under: uncultured bacterium
Lineage: Bacteria
Description: partial 16S ribosomal RNA
Rfam family: Bacterial small subunit ribosomal RNA
Source: RNAcentral
AGUGAACGCUGGCGGUAGGCCUAACACAUGCAAGUCGAACGGCAGCACAGUAAGAGCUUGCUCUUACGGGUGGCGAGUGGCGGACGGGUGAGGAAUACAUCGGAAUCUACUUUUUCGUGGGGGAUAACGAAGGGAAACUUACGCUAAUACAGCAUACGACCUACGGGUGAAAGCAGGGGAUCUUCGGACCUUGCGCGAUUGAAUGAGCCGAUGUCGGAUUAGCUAGUUGGCGGGGUAAAGGCCCACCAAGGCGACGAUCCGUAGCUGGUCUGAGAGGGUGAUCGGCCACACUGGCACUGAGACUCGGUCCAGACUCCUACGGGAGGCAGCAGUGGGGAAUAUUGGACAAUGGGCGCAAGCCUGAUCCAGCCACACCGCGUGGGUGAAGAAGGCCUUCGGGUUGUAGAGCCCUUCUGUUGGGAAAGAAAAGCAGCAGGUUAAUACCCCGCUGUUCUGACGGUACCCAAAGAAUAAGCACCGGCUAACUUCGUG